CCCUUAGAUGUUCUGGGCCGCACGCGCGCUACACUGAUGCAUUCAACGAGUCUAAAACCUGCUCUGAUAGGGGUGGGUAAUCUUUUGAAUGUGCAUCGUGAUUGGGAUAGAUGAUUGCAAUGUUUCAUCUUCAACGAGGAAUGCCUAGUAAACGCAAGUCAUCAGCUUGCAUUGAUUACGUCCCUGCCCUUUGUACACACCGCCCGUCGCUCCUACCGAUUGAAUGAUCCGAUGAAUAUCAUGGAUUGAGGAUGCAAGCAGGUUCGCCUGUCUUCAUCUUCGAGAAGUGAAGUAAAUCUUAUCAUUUAGAGGAAGGAGAAGUCGUAACA
Molecule: ribosomal RNA, 329 nt
Filed under: uncultured eukaryote
Lineage: Eukaryota
Description: partial 18S ribosomal RNA
Rfam family: Eukaryotic small subunit ribosomal RNA
Source: RNAcentral